Misgurnus anguillicaudatus (oriental weatherfish) is the source of this 905-nucleotide non-coding RNA. Lineage: Eukaryota; Metazoa; Chordata; Actinopteri; Cypriniformes; Cobitidae. The record is from RefSeq and is a predicted model, not a curated record.
UUUUUUGUGAUAGGACCCUUACAGACUAUAUUUGAAUACGGCAUACCCGUGAAUUCUGGAACUGUUAUUCCUUAACCCAGUUUGGAGGAUAAGAGCUUACCAACUAUAAAUAUGCUGAGGCGAUGUAUUGCAAAAUAGCCAACAUACAACAAUUAAAGGAUAAUUGCAGCCUAUAUCCUGAUGAAGAUAUGGAUGACCCUCUGUCUGGUCAACAGGAGUUUAAAUAUGGACGGGACAGUUAUGUGGCAGCUCUUCCCUGGCUCAUUCACCUCUUGCCUUCAUUUGUGAAAGGAGGAAAGACUGGAGAGGGUCAAUGUGCAACUGAAGCUACUGACUGUGCUGUGUGAUGAGCAUCAAUCCAUGCUUUGAGGUGGAUGGAUCAGCACAGCCCUGCCUGCUCUGCGUUGGGGAACAAAAGUUGCAUCCAGAAUUUUUGCAUCAUUCUGGACCAAAAAGCCAUUCCCUCCAUGAUGAAGACCACUCAUGCAGCCUUCCACUACUGUACAGUAAAACAACUACAGAACUAAAUACCAGGUUGGAACGUGUUUAAGAAAAAUGAAACGUCUUUUGAAUUGAAAUGUCUGUUUUGUUAUGGAAAAAUCUUUAGUAUUGUGAAGGAUAAGCAUUUCUGCUUGCCGAUAAGGUAAUUGCAUGUAUUUUAAUGUUCAAGUUUUGAGUAGGGUGGCUAAUUUUUUUAACUCUUAUUUGAUUUAUUAAAGACCUUUAUAAUAAGUGGUUUUCAUGUCACUGCGCUGUGGUAUAAGAUAACUUUCAUUAUUCCAUACUGUAUUCUGUUUCUAAUUGUAGCUGAGGUAUUUAAAUAAGCAGUGUUAAAUGCAAAGUGUUGUGUGUAUCAAUGUAAAUAUUAAAUGUGAUUUACUUUAAUAAAAAGAGGUUUUGCAAUA